AAAAAAAGUUUCGGCAAAUUCCAUCUAAGAAUUCCACCAGAGUUCUGUUGUCUCCAAUGUCAUCUUCCACAGAUUUCAAGUUGUGAAGCCCUGAACUGUUAAUUUAUCUUGAGAAUGUAUAUUUAAGCUUAAUUUAAGACUAUAUACCUAAAAAUUGAGCAUAUAAUUUCUAUAAUUUGUUUAUGUAAAUUUCUGUAAGUCAUAAGUAUGUGGUUUCCAAGUGUAUAAUUUAUCUGAAUGUAAUAGGCAUUAAUAUAUUUUACAUUACUGGGACCAUAGUACAGAAAUUUCUAAAUGGUUUGUAAAAUAACUUGUUAUUUGUGUUGUUGUAAAAGCAGUUAAUACAAUGGAAAAACUCGUAAUAAGAAGAUACAGUUUAACAUCAAAAAGUUUACCCAAGGUAAUUAUGAGUACUACCUGGCAAAACUUCACGGAAGCUGUGGUAUCACUUUUAUGAUGGAAGAAUGGUGUUUGCAUUUUGUGUAAAAGUACUUGCGGCUGGGCGUGGUGGCUCAUGUCCCAGUGCUUUGGGAGGCGAAGGCAGGUGGAUCAUCUGAGCCCAGGAGUUUGAGACCAGCCUAGGCAACGUGGCAAGAGCCUGUCUCUCCAAAACCUACAAAAUUUAGCCAAGCUUGGUGGUGUGAGCCUGUAGUCCCAGCUACUUGGGAGACUCACGCUGGAGGAUCUCUCGAGCCCAGGAGGCAGAAGAUGAAUAAAUAAAUGGAAGCAACUGAAUGGGAUGAGGUCUCUCUUGAAGGAGAGAGCAAAAGAGAUUUAAAUAGUAACAAUUAUAAUAAGGCUGGGCGCGGUGGCUCACGCUUGUAAUCCCAGAACUUUGGGAGGCCAAGGCAGGCGGAUCGGUUGAGGUCAGGAGUUCAAGACCAGCAUGGCCAACACGGUGAAACCCUGUCUCUAUUAAAAAUACAAAAUUAGCCGGACAUGGUAGUGCGUGCCUGUGGUCUCGGCUACUCAGGUGGCUGAGACAGGAGAAUCGCUUGAACCUGGUAGGCACAGGUUGUAGUGAGCCGAUAAAUAUAAAAAGUAUUAGAGUACUAACAGAGGAAAGUUUCCACUGAUCACCUUUUAGCUUUAAAUAAUGCAGAAGCAUUUGCCCAGUUUACUUGUAAUUAAAAAUCAUGCAUCAUUCACAAUUUAUAUCUUUUUUGUUUGUACAAAAAUGAACACAAGUUAUUCUCUUUUAUCUGUAUUGUGAUUGGUUUGGUGAGAGGGAAUUAGGCCACUUGAGAGUUUGUGUGUGUUUACAAUUUUCUGGCCAGGCACGGUGGCUCAUGCCUGUAAUCCCAGCACUUUGGGAGGCCAAGGCGGGCGGAUCACUUGAGCUCAGGAGUUCGAGACCAAAUUGGGCAACAUGGUGAAACCCUAUCUCUACGAAAAAUACAAAAAUUAGCUGAGUGCCGUGGCUUGCGCCUGUCCUCCCAGCUACUUGGGGGGCUGAGGCAGUAGGAUCGCUCAAGCCCAGGAGGUGGAGGUUGCAGUGAGCCAAGAUCACGUCACUGCACUCCAGGAAGGGCAACAGAGCAAGACUCCUUCUAAAAAAAAAAAAAAAAAAAGAAAGAAAGAAAAGAAAAUUAACUUUGGUAUUUCAGGUUGUAUUUAAAUGGAGACUUAACAUGAACUAUGUUCAUAACACUUGACCAAAUUAAGUGUAGAUCGUCUCUUUAAUAAAGAGAUCAUCUGGAACUGCAAUUUCUAACUCAUACAUCAUUGCUACAAACCUUAUUUGUUUACUAUUUCUCUUCCAAGGACCAUCAGUCAUCCUUUAAAAUUCAUUUCAAGCUCUGAAAAGAUAUUUUUUGUUACAUGGGCAAUUUACUUUUAGUACAGUAAAAUGUUAUGUGAAUUUCUACAGUAUGUUUGCCAAAAUGAAUUAUAUCUAGAAUACGCUUAACAAUAUAUUCUGGAGGCAGCUUUCAUUUGAAAUUAGGUUCACCUUCUGAGAGUAUGAAAAAGUUAAUGGGUUUUUGUGCCUGAAGAUUUUGAUGUUGCAUUUGGCUACAUUUAAUCCACUUUCACCCAUAAGUUUUAACAUCUAAAAAAAUUAAAUCACUGCUAAUGCAAUUAAAAUGCAUUAUGAAAUGCAUUUCUGUCCAGGCUGGAGUGCAGUGGCACAAUCUCGGCUCACUGCAAGCUCCGCCUCCCUGGUUCACACCAUUCUCCUGCCUCAGCCUCCCUAGUAGCUGGGACUACAUGUGCCCGCCACCACGCCCGGCUAAUUUUUUUUUUUUUUUUUUUUAAUGAGGCGGAGUCUCGCUCCGUUGACCAGGCUGGAGUGCAAUGGCAUGAUCCUGGCUCACUGCAACCUCUGCUUCCUGGGUUCAAGUGAUUCGCCUGCCUUGCUGGGAUGACAGACGUGCACCACAAUGUCCGGCUAAUUUUGUAUUUUUAGUAGAGACAUGGCUUCACCAUACUGGCCAGGCUGGUCUUGAACUUCUGACCUCAGGUGAUCCCACCUUGGCCUCCCAAAGUGCUGGGAUUACAGGCAUGAGCCACUGUGCCCAGCUUAAGAUCUCUGUUUUAAUGUUAAUGCUGGUCAGUUGUGUCUGGAUUCCAGAGGGAGGAAGGUAGAAUGAGGCAUGUUGACACCUCCCCUUCCCAUCAUGGCCUAAGCUGGUCUUUUCAGUUUACUUUGGAAUGUCCUUGCUCAACAGGAAGGGUCCAUUCAGUCGGAUUGGGUGGCUUAGAAUUUUAUUUUUGGUUUACAUCUCAACUAUCACAGCAGCCGGGCGCGGUGGCUUCACAGCUGUAAUCCCAGCACAUUGGGAGGCUGAGGCAGGGGUAUCACCUGAGGUCUGGAGUUCUAGACCAGCCUGACCAACAUGGAGAAACCCCCCGUCUCUACUAAAAAUACAAAAUUACCCGGGCGUGGUGGUACAUGCCUGUAAUCCCAGCUACUCGGGAGGCUGAGGCAGGAGAAUCGCUUGAACCUGGGAGGCGGAGGUUGUGGUGAGCUGAGAUCGUGCCACUGCACUCCAGCCUGGGCAACAAGAGCGAAACUCUGUCUCAAAUAAAUAAAUAAAUAAAUAAAUAAACAAACUAUCACAGCAUAAAGUAGGAAUAUUUCGUUACUGUCUAGUUAAACUGGUUAAUGCAGAAAGGAAGUCUGGAAAUUCCAGUUUUAAAGUAAAAUUUUGGACAUUGUAGGAUUGAUUAUUUGGCAUAGUUGUGAUGUUUGUUCCUGCGUUAUGGUUUUGUUGGCAGGGCAGCCUUUAAGGACCUGUAUAUUUUCUUCUAGACUCUAUAUAUUCCCUGUGAGUAUUAGUUGUAUGGUCAAACUGGCAAAUUUUACCAUAGGUAUAAAUAAUAGAGAAUGUGGAAGAAUAGUGAAUAGUGUCAGAGAUAGUUAAAAGUCCAUACAAUAGUAGAGAAGGUAAUAAGUAAUAGUGGCUUGGACUAAAUAUUUGUUGAAUAAAUGUUUUAAAAAACAGGCUACCUACAAUUUGUGUUGAAGAUAUGAAUGAAUGAAGUUUCCACACCUUUAUGUGGAGACCUGAUAAGUAAGCAACAAUAAGGAAGGGUCCCCAGGUUGGGGAGAGCCCCAAGUUGAGAACAAUAAUGAACAAUGAUUGUAUGAACAAUUGUUAGAAACAGCUAAUCACAAACAACCUGCGGGCACAAUGACCUCAUUCCACACGUAGCACCCUUCAGCAGGACCCUAUAAAACUUUCCUCCAGCCCUUGCCUCUUUGCAGGUAGCCCCUUCUCUGCUGAGCUGCCCACUGCAACAUAUUUUCACAAUUUCUCUAAUAAAUCUGCCCUUCUUUACCUACAACUAUCUUGGUAAAUGGCUUUACCACCUGCAAAACUGACCCUAGGUUGUUGCUACCCGAUAUGGUUUGGCUGCGUCCCCACCCAAAUUUCAUCUUGAAUUGUAGUUCCCAUAAUCCCCAUGUGUCGUGGGAGGGACCCGGUAGGAGGUAAUCGAAUCAUGGGGGCAGGUUUUUCCCAUACUGUUCUCGUGAUAGUGAAUACAUCUCACUAAAUCUGAUGGUUUUAUAAAGGGCAGUUUCCCUGCACGUGCUCUCUUGCCUGCUGCCAUGGAAGACAUACCUUUUUGCUCCUUGCCUUCCACCAUGAUUCUGAGGCCUCUCCAGCCUUGUGGAACUGUGAGUACAUUAAACCUCUUUUUCUUUAUAAAUUACCCAGUUUCCAGUAUUUCUUCAUAGCAGUAUGAAAAGUAACUAAUACACUACCCGAGACAUCUUAGGAGAUUUGUAAUAGCUGUAAUGCCAGGUCCACCAUAUUUUUAGCAUAAAGCAAAUGUUUACGCGUGAUAUGACUGCACGGGCUUUCUUUCAGCUGGAGCCAUAGCAACUCAAGUAGUAACCCUAUCUUAGUCUGAUUAAAAGUAAAUAUUAGUCUGGGCAUGGUGGGACAUGCCUGUAAUCCCAGUACUUUGGGAGGCUGAGACAGAAGGAUUGCUUGAGCCCAGGAGUUUGAGACCAGCCUGGGCAACAUGGAAAAACACCAUCUCUACAAAAAAUACAAAAAUUAGCUGAGCGUGGUGGCACACACCUGUAGUCCCAGCACCUUGGGAGGGUGAGGCAGGAGGAUCUCUUGAACCCGGGAGGUGGAAGCCGCAGUGGGCAAUGAUCAUGUCAGAGGUGUGUGAACCAGAGCAACUCCAUCUUAAAUAGGAGCCAGGAAAAAUGAGGCUGAAACUACUGGGCUGCAUUCCCUGAUGGUUAAGGCAUUCUAAGUCACAGGAUGACAUAGAAGGUCAGCACAAAAUACCAGUCAUAAAGACCUUGCUGAUAAAACAGGUUGCAGUGAAGGAGCUGGCCAAAACCCACCAAAACCAAAAUAGAGACAAGACUGACCUCCCAUCAUCCUCCCUGCUACACUCCUACCAGCACCAUGACAGUUUACAAAUGCCACGGCAACAUCAAGAAGUUACCCUAUAUGGUCUAAAAAGAGGAGGCAUGAAAAAUCCACUCCUUGUUUAGCAUAUCAUCAAGAAAUAACCAUAAAAAUGGGCAACCAGCAGCCCUCACGGCUGCUCCGUCUAUGGGGUAGCCAUUCUUUUAUUCCUUUACUUUCUCUCUUUUUUUUUGAGAUGGAGUCUCCCUCUGUCACCCAGGCUGGAGUGCAGUGGCGCGAUCUCGGCUUACUGCAAGCUUCGCCUCCCGGGUUCAUCCCAUUCUCCUGCCUCAGCCUCCAGAGUAGGUGGGACUACAGGCACCGGCCACCACACUUGGCUAAUUUUUUUGUAUUUUUAGUAGAGAUGAGGUUUCACCGUGUUAACCAGGAUGGUCUUGAUCUCCUGACCUCGUGAUCCACCUGUCUCGGCCUCCCAAAGUGCUGCGAUUACAGGAGUGAGCCACGGUGCCCCUCCUCCUUUACUUUCUUAAUAAACUUGCUUUCACUUCACACUGUGGCAUCACCCUGAAUUCUUUCUUGCACAAGAUCCAAGAACCCUCUCUUGGGGUCUAGAUUGGGACCCCUUUCCUGUAACUAUCAUGCUACUGCACUCCAGCCUGGGCAACAGAGCAAGGCCCUGUCUCAAAAAAAAAAAAAAAAAAGGAACAUGACUUAAUACAUUCAUUUUGGAGGAUAAGUCUCUCAAAAUAGGCCUUUCACUGGGGGAAAAUGGUAAAAAUACUCCCUGGUAAUUCAAGAAUUGGAGACUCCUGAGAUGCUGCUCAUAUUAGCUGAGCACUUAUCAAUACUUCACUUUUUUCCAUAUAUACUCAAGGAACAAGUGCUAUUUAAAGUGUUUCACUCCACUGGGCUAGGUGCAAGACUAUAAAGAGGUGUGAGGAUCAACACUUUUAUGAAAACCAGUGUCAUUCUGGAUAUAGUUUCAGAUGCUAGUGCAAAGGAAGCUCUUGGUAUACGGAAAAAGUAUUCAACAAUAAAUUAGGCAUGGUUGCUUCCAUUUUCUGCCUCACAUACUUUUUUUUUCGUGGUUAAAGUGAUAUAAUGUCUAUGAUAUUUUAGAUUGGCAGUUGCAAACUAGUGGUCCUCAGCGUGCUUUUUAUGACACCUACAAGGUCUGAAGACUUUGAUUUCAUAUUAAAAAUCUGGGUUUCAGGCUGGGUGUGGUGUUGCAUGCCUGUAAUCCCAGCACUUUGGGAGGCUGAGGCAGGAGAAUCGCUUGAACCAGGGAGGUGGAGGUUGCAGUGAGCCAAGAUCGCGCCACUGCACUCAAGCUUAGGCAAUAGAGCAAGACUCCAUCUCAAAAAAUGAAUAAAUAAAUAAAUAAAAUCUGGGUUUCAGGCCAGGUGUGGUGGUGCACUCCUGCAAUCCCAGCACUUUGGGAGGCUGAGAUGGGCAGACAGCUUGACCUCAGGAAUUCCAGACUAGCCUGGGCAACAUGGCGAAACCCCAUGUCUACAAAUAAUACAAAAAAAUUAGCUGGGUGUAGUGGAGUGUGCCUGUAAUCCCAGCAACGUGGGAGGCUGAAGUGAGAGGAUUGCUUGAGCCUGGGAGGUUGAUGUUACAGUGAGCUGAGAUCGCCCUCCUACACUCCAACCUGGGCAACAGAGCCAGACCUUGUCUUAAAAAAAA
This 6527-nucleotide long non-coding RNA is filed under the name Homo sapiens (human). Its description in RNAcentral is "HSALNT0229522". The record is from RNAcentral. Lineage: Eukaryota; Metazoa; Chordata; Mammalia; Primates; Hominidae.